AGAGUUUGAUCCUGGCUCAGGAUGAACGCUAGCGGCAGGCUUAAUACAUGCAAGGCGAGGGGGCAGCAAUGUCACCGUCGUACGGGUGCGUAACGCGUAUGCAACCUACCUAUCACUGGGGGAUAGCCCGGGGAAACCCGGAUUAAUACCGCAUAACACAGGGGUCCCGCAUGGGUACUAUUUGUUAAAGAUUUAUCGGUGGUAGAUGGGCAUGCGUUCGAUUAGCUAGUUGGUGCGGGUAACGGCCUACCAAGGCGACGAUCGAUAGGGGAGCUGAGAGGUUGAUCCCCCACACGGGCACUGAGAUACGGGCCCGACUCCUACGGGAGGCAGCAGUAGGGAAUAUUGGGCAAUGGAUGCAAGUCUGACCCAGCCAUGCCGCGUGCCGGAUGAAGGCCCUCAGGGUUGUAAACGGCUUUUAUUCGGGAAGAAGAGCGAGGGUGCGCCCUUGUGUGACGGUACCGAAUGGAUAAGCACCGGCUAACUCCGUGCCAGCAGCCGCGGUAAUACGGAGGGUGCGAGCGUUGUCCGGAUUUAUUGGGUUUAAAGGGUGCGUAGGUGGCUUUAUAAGUCAGUGGUGAAAUACAGCCGCUUAACGGUUGAGGUGCCAUUGAUACUGUAGAGCUUGAAACAAUUGGAGGCUGCCGGAAUGGAUGGUGUAGCGGUGAAAUGCAUAGAUAUCAUCCAGAACACCGAUUGCGAAGGCAGGUGGCUACGUUUGAUUUGACACUGAGGCACGAAAGCAUGGGGAGCAAACAGGAUUAGAUACCCUAGUAGUCC
Molecule: ribosomal RNA, 780 nt
Filed under: uncultured bacterium
Lineage: Bacteria
Description: bacterial SSU rRNA
Rfam family: Bacterial small subunit ribosomal RNA
Source: RNAcentral